GAUGAAGAACGUAGUGAAAUGCGAUAAGUAAUGUGAAUUGCAGAAUUCAGUGAAUCAUCGAAUCUUUGAACGCACAUUGCGCCCGCCAGCACUCUGGCGGGCAUGCCUGUUCGAGCGUCAUUUCAACCAUCAAGCCCCCAGGGGCUUGUGCUGGGGCCCUGCGGCUGCCCGCAGGCCCUGAAAACCAGUGGCGGGCUCGCUAGUCACACCGAGCGCAGUAGCACAUCUCGCUCAGGGCGUGCGGCGGGCUCCUGCCGUGAAACCCCCCACUGUAACCCCAAAGGUUGACCUCGGAUCAGGUAGGAAUACCCGCUGAACUUAAGCAUAUCAGUAAGCGGAGGA
Molecule: unclassified non-coding RNA, 342 nt
Filed under: soil metagenome
Description: partial contains 5.8S ribosomal RNA, internal transcribed spacer 2, and large subunit ribosomal RNA
Rfam family: 5.8S ribosomal RNA (bases 1-120)
Source: RNAcentral